CCUACGAGUGGCAGCAGUGAGGAAUAUUGGUCAAUGGGCGAGAGCCUGAACCAGCCAAGUCGCGUGAGGGAGUACUGCCCUAUGGGUUGUAAACCUCUUUUGUCGGGGAGCAAAAGCCUGACGUGUCCGGCUGUGAGAGUACCCGCAGAAAAAGCAUCGGCUAACUCCGUGCCAGCAGCCGCGGUAAUACGGAGGAUGUGGGCGUUAUCAGGAUUUAUUGGGUUUAAAGGGAGCGUAGGUGGAUUUUUAAGGCAGUUGUGAAAGUUUGCGGCUUAAACGUAAAAUUGCAGUUGAAACUGGCAGUCUUGAGUAGAGUAGAGGUGUGCGGAAUUCGUGGUGUAGCGGUGAAAUGCUUAGAUAUCACGAAGAACUCCGAUUGCGAAGGCAGCUCACUGGACUGCAACUGACACUGAGGCUCGAAAGUGUGGGUAUCAAACAGGAUUAGAUACCCGUGUAGUC
This 459-nucleotide ribosomal RNA is filed under the name uncultured bacterium. Its description in RNAcentral is "partial 16S ribosomal RNA". It matches the Rfam family "Bacterial small subunit ribosomal RNA", at positions 338 to 795 of the family's 1533-position model. The record is from RNAcentral.